UACGUAGGGACCGAGCGUUGUCCGGAAUCAUUGGGCGUAAAGAGCGUGUAGGCGGCCAAUUAAGUCCUGCGUGAAAUCUCGGGGCUCAACCCCGAGCGGUCGUGGGAAACUGGUUGGCUAGAGUCCGGAAGAGGAGAGUGGAAUUCCCGGUGUAGCGGUGAAAUGCGCAGAUAUCGGGAAGAACACCUAUGGCGAAGGCAGCUCUCUGGGACGGUACUGACGCUGAGACGCGAAGGCGUGGGGAGCGAACAGG
This 253-nucleotide ribosomal RNA is filed under the name uncultured bacterium. Its description in RNAcentral is "partial 16S ribosomal RNA". It matches the Rfam family "Bacterial small subunit ribosomal RNA", at positions 524 to 776 of the family's 1533-position model. The record is from RNAcentral.